Molecule: transfer RNA, 82 nt
Filed under: Candidatus Kaiserbacteria bacterium RIFCSPHIGHO2_01_FULL_55_79
Lineage: Bacteria; Candidatus Kaiseribacteriota
Also listed under: 3 other names
Description: tRNA-Tyr
Rfam family: tRNA
About the family: Transfer RNA (tRNA) molecules are approximately 80 nucleotides in length. Their secondary structure includes four short double-helical elements and three loops (D, anti-codon, and T loops). Further hydrogen bonds mediate the characteristic L-shaped molecular structure. tRNAs have two regions of fundamental functional importance: the anti-codon, which is responsible for specific mRNA codon recognition, and the 3' end, to which the tRNAs corresponding amino acid is attached (by aminoacyl-tRNA synthetases). tRNAs cope with the degeneracy of the genetic code in two manners: having more than one tRNA (with a specific anti-codon) for a particular amino acid; and 'wobble' base-pairing, i.e. permitting non-standard base-pairing at the 3rd anti-codon position.
Source: RNAcentral
GCGUCGGUCGUAUAGCGGCAAUUACACGAGGCUGUAAACCUCGCGCCUUCGGGCUCCGCAGGUUCGAGUCCUGCCCGACGCA